GACGAACGCUGGCGGCGCGCUUAACACAUGCAAGUCGAACGGAAAGGCCUGCUUUCCCUUGUGGAUUGCGGGUACUCGAGUGGCGAACGGGUGAGUAACACGUGAGUGAUCUGCCCCCAACUUGGGUAUAAGCCUGGGAAACUGGGUCUAAUUCCCGUUAGGACUGCAGGGUGGUGACUGUGGUGGAAAACGAUUUUCUAGUGGUUGGGGAUGAGCUCGCGGAUUAUCUGGUUGUUGGUGGGGUAAUGGCCUACCACGGCGGUGAAGGGUAGCCGGCCUGGGAGGGGGGACAGCCACAUUGGGACUGAGAUACGGCCCAGACGCCUACGGGAGGCAGCAGUGGGGAAGAUUGCACAAUGGGCGUAAGCCUGAUGCAGCGACGCCGCGUGGGGGAUGACGGCCUUCGGGUUGUAAGCUCCUUUCGACCGCGAGGAAGCCACCUGGUUGGAAGGGUGGUGACGGUAGUGGUAGAAGAAGCACCGGCUAACUACGUG
RNAcentral lists this ribosomal RNA (494 nucleotides) under uncultured bacterium. RNAcentral describes it as "partial 16S ribosomal RNA". It matches the Rfam family "Bacterial small subunit ribosomal RNA", at positions 28 to 507 of the family's 1533-position model. The record is from RNAcentral.